RNAcentral lists this ribosomal RNA (604 nucleotides) under uncultured bacterium. Its description in RNAcentral is "bacterial SSU rRNA". It matches the Rfam family "Bacterial small subunit ribosomal RNA", at positions 28 to 680 of the family's 1533-position model. The record is from RNAcentral.
AACGAACGCUGGCGGCAGGCCUAACACAUGCAAGUCGAGCGCACCUUCGGGUGAGCGGCGGACGGGUGAGUAACGCGUGGGAAUAUGCCCAGAUCUACGGAAUAGCCUCGGGAAACUGAGAGUAAUACCGUAUACGCCCUUCGGGGGAAAGAUUUAUCGGAUUUGGAUUAGCCCACGUUAGAUUAGGUAGUUGGUGGGGUAAUGGCCUACCAAGCCUACGAUCUAUAGCUGGUUUGAGAGGAUGAUCAGCCACACUGGGACUGAGACACGGCCCAGACUCCUACGGGAGGCAGCAGUGGGGAAUCUUAGACAAUGGGGGAAACCCUGAUCUAGCCAUGCCGCGUGAGUGACGAAGGCCCUAGGGUCGUAAAGCUCUUUCAGCUGUGAAGAUAAUGACGGUAGCAGCAGAAGAAACCCCGGCUAACUCCGUGCCAGCAGCCGCGGUAAUACGGAGGGGGUUAGCGUUGUUCGGAAUUACUGGGCGUAAAGCGCGCGUAGGCGGACUGUUAAGUCAGAGGUGAAAUCCCAGGGCUCAACCCUGGAACUGCCUUUGAUACUGGCAGUCUUGAGUUCGAGAGAGGUGAGUGGAAUUCCGAGUGUAGAG